CCAAUGGCACUGCCCGGUAGCUAAAUGCGGAAGAGAUAAGUGCUGAAAGCAUCUAAGCACGAAACUUGCCCCGAGAUGAGUUCUCCCUGAGACUUUAAGUCUCCUGAAGGAACGUUGAAGACGACGACGUUGAUAGGCCGGGUGUGUAAGCGCAGCGAUGCGUUGAGCUAACCGGUACUAAUGAACCGUGAGGCUUAACCUUACAACGCCGAAG
RNAcentral lists this ribosomal RNA (214 nucleotides) under Klebsiella pneumoniae. Its description in RNAcentral is "partial 23S ribosomal RNA". It matches the Rfam family "Bacterial large subunit ribosomal RNA", at positions 2729 to 2925 of the family's 2925-position model. The record is from RNAcentral. RNAcentral also lists the same sequence under 2 other names. Lineage: Bacteria; Pseudomonadati; Pseudomonadota; Gammaproteobacteria; Enterobacterales; Enterobacteriaceae.